Molecule: long non-coding RNA, 1427 nt
Organism: Mustela lutreola (European mink)
Lineage: Eukaryota; Metazoa; Chordata; Mammalia; Carnivora; Mustelidae
Exons: 4
Source: RefSeq, a predicted model, not a curated record
UUAAGGUUACUAAUCAAUUGGCCAUAAAAUAGGGAGAUUAUGCGAGUGGAUCCAAUGUAAUUAUGUGAGCCCUUCAAAGCUGAGGGCAGAAGAGGAAGGCAGAGAGAUUCUGAGUGUGAGAAGGAUUUGAUGUGCUGUUGCUGGAUCUGAGGUAGGAGGAAAGUGUGCAAGGACCAGAGGGAGGUCUUUUGGAGUUAAGGGCAGCCCCUAGCUGACAAUCAGCAAGCAAGCAGAGACGUCACUCCUAUAGCAGCAAGGAACCGAAUUUUGCAGACAACCUGAAUGAACUUGAAGCAGAUUCUUUCCCAGAGCCUCCAGAAAGGAAUGCAGCCCUGCUCACACUUCGACUUGGGCCUGGUGAGACCCUAAACAGAGAACUACAGCAGUGUACCUGGACUUCUGACCUACAGAAACUGUGUGAGCAGUGGAGACCCUCCUUUCUUAGGAGGAACAGAUGAAGCAAGGAUCUUCAUGGCAAGGUUCUAUGGGCAAACUUGGUUACUGUGUUCAAACAGAUACCCUUUGAUUCCUGCCUGUCAUCAAUAGCUCCAAUCCAUGAUUUUACUAAGACAGAAGCAACCAGAAAAGAACUUCCACAAGCUCCUAUCACCACACCUUCAUACUUUCUGGCACAGACUUUGCCUUACUUCCUGCUUACAGGUAAGGAGAAUGCAGCCCAUUGACUUUGGAGGCUUUGAAGGACCCCUGACAGCAGCCCUGGACACGAGUGCCUGGCAAUAAGGAUCAGGCAAGAAGCUGGCUAUCUCGGUUAGAAAUUAGCAUGGAGAGAAGAUUGUGACACUCCAUUUCCUCAUUCCAGUUGCCAAGAUGGAACCUAAACUGUACCUCACGUCCCACCUGACUUUAGAUUGCGUGUGGGUAUUGAAAGAUGAGAACAAAGAGAGAAUCCUGAAAUGGUUGAAUAUUAACCCAAAAGGAGCCAAGAGAAAAAACCUGAAGGUGACUGAAUUAUCCUGCAUUGGCAGGAUGAAGCAGAAAUGAGCACUAAAGCACUAAGUUCAGUCAUAGUGUAAUAACAUCACAUUUUCCACAUCUGAGUGGGUGAGCAAAAAUUUGUAUCUGCUGCAGAUAAAAGAUGAGGCUGACAAGAUCAUCUUCUGUAGCCACAGUUUUGUAGCUGCAGAGAUGAGGCUGGAGGCUCCUGAAGGAUAAAUUAAAACAAUGGAUUAGCUGAGGAUGGGAGUGUUUCAGAAACCCUUGUUGAGGGGCGCCUGUUGGCUCAGUGGGUUAAGCCACUGCCUUCAGCUCGGGUCGUGAUCUCAGGGUCCUGGGAUCGAGUCCCGCAUCGGGCUCUCUGCUCAACAGGGAGCCUGCUUCCCUCUCACUCUCUCUCUGCCUGCCUCUCUGCCUACUUGUGAUCUCUGUCUGUCAAAUAGACAGAUAAAAUCUUUAAAAAAAAAAAAAAA